This 705-nucleotide long non-coding RNA is filed under the name Lathyrus oleraceus (garden pea). RNAcentral describes it as "Pisum sativum (pea) long non-coding RNA (PSAT_LNC020580)". The record is from RNAcentral. Lineage: Eukaryota; Viridiplantae; Streptophyta; Magnoliopsida; Fabales; Fabaceae.
GCUAAAAUCUAUAACCAAAAAUCUAAUAAUCCAAUUAUCAAUUAAAAUUAAUUAAUUAAUUAAUUAAACUGAAAAAAAUAAAACAAUAGUAAUUAAUAAAGCAAAAUGAAAUACAUAUAUCUAUUCAAAUCAACGUAUUACCAAUAUAUACAAAACUGAAUAUUUAUAUUUAUACAAUAAUAAUAUUUAUAUUUAAACUUAAGCACAGUAGUAUAUAUUUAUGUUUAAAUUUAAACAAAAUAGUAUAUAUUUCUAAACACAUGUAUCUACUCACAUUAAAAUAGUAUCUAUAUAUAAAACUUAAACACAAUAAUAUAUAUUUAUAUUUAAAUUUAACUUUGAACACAGUAACUAUAUAUUCCUAAACUUCAACACAAUAGCUAUAUAUUUCAACACCCAAGUGACCCAAAAAUAUUGAUUUCUUUCUACAUCCAUACAUUGCUUGUAAUGAUAGUAACAACAUGAAAAUUGAUACAGCAAAGGAUUAAUGCAAACGCCACAUAAUAAUCAUGGUUUAACUUUCUCUUCUAAAGGCUGGAUUUUCUUUUUUUAAAAAGGUACAGGAAUUGAAAAGGAAAAAAAUGAUAACUUAGAACAUUCUUUCAUACAUCCCUCAAAUUCAACUUAAUUCAAUUCACAUUAAACUAAAGCCAAAUAAAUAGUUUCAUUAUUCACCAGCACAACAUAUCGACAGUAACGACAUNA